This 497-nucleotide ribosomal RNA is filed under the name uncultured bacterium. Its description in RNAcentral is "partial 16S ribosomal RNA". It matches the Rfam family "Bacterial small subunit ribosomal RNA", at positions 28 to 507 of the family's 1533-position model. The record is from RNAcentral.
GAUGAACGCUGGCGGCGUGCCUAAUACAUGCAAGUCGAGCGAACGGACGAGAAGCUUUCUUCUCUGAGGUUAGCGGCGGACAGGUGGGUAACACGUGGAUAACCUCCCUCUAAGACUGGGAUAACUUCGGGAAACCGGAGCUACUACCGGGUAAUAUUUUGAGCCGCUUGGUUCAAGAGUGAAAGACGGUCUUGCUGUCACUUAUGGAUGGGUCCGCGCUGCAUUAGCUAGUUGGUAAGGUAACGGCUUACCAAGGCAACGAUGCCUAGCCGACCUGAGAGGGGGGUCGGCCACACUGGAACGGAGACAAGGCCCAGACUCCUACGGGAGGCAGCAGUAGGGAAGCUUCCGCAAUGGGCGAAAGCCUGACGGAGCAACGCCGCGUGAGGGAUGAAGGUCUUCGGAGCGUAAAACUCUGUUAUUAGGGAAGAACAAAUGUGUAAGUAACUGUGCACAGCUUGACGGUACCUAAUCAGAAAGCCACGGCUAACUACGUG